UACGGGGGGGGCAAGCGUUGUUCGGAAUUACUGGGCGUAAAGGGUUUGUUGGUGGCUUUCUAAGUCAGACGUGAAAUCCCUCAGCUUAACUGGGGAACUGCGUCUGAGACUGGCAAGCUCGAGUGCAGGAGAGGAACGCGGAAUUCCAGGUGUAGCGGUGAAAUGCGUAGAUAUCUGGAGGAACACCGGUGGCGAAGGCGGCGUUCUGGACUGCAACUGACACUGAAAAACGAAAGCCAGGGGAGCAAACGGG
RNAcentral lists this ribosomal RNA (253 nucleotides) under uncultured bacterium. Its description in RNAcentral is "partial 16S ribosomal RNA". It matches the Rfam family "Bacterial small subunit ribosomal RNA", at positions 524 to 776 of the family's 1533-position model. The record is from RNAcentral.